AUAUGCAAAUAAAAUUCGUUAGUAUAUGUUUCUAAAAAAUUAUCAUUAUAUAUUUAUAUUAUUUGCAUGUAAUGUCUUGGUUAAAUCUUUUUGUGAAUUCUAAAGCAUCAUGCACAAUCAAGAUAACAAAUAUUUAUUAUUGUCCUUAUUGUUAAUCGGCUUAUUCAGCUAAUCGGCGUUUUACCGAUGGCAAUAUAUGAUUAUUAGCGCACACAAAUAUUAGCAUUAUACAUUAGCGAACAGGCUAAGUUUUACUGCUUUUGUACAGCAUCAACGGAUGUCCUAUUUAUGAUUCGUAAACAAUUCAAUUCAUAAAGAGAGCAAUUACUGUCUGCAUUGUGUAAAUGCAUCGUAAUCCCUCGGUUCUGAUUAGCGAACUUUUCAAAUGCUUUCGUUAGAGUACCAUUGAGCAAAUAGCUCUUAAUCUCCGCAGAGAUUGACAGACAGAUCCAACUCCCGUUGCCGGAAUAAAGCAGAUUGCUCCUGGGGAACAAGCUGUAUAGUCUCCACCCUCGAGUACACACGUGCAUGCGUUAACAACUGCAUAUUCCUUAAUUCCGGGAUGGACAUUUCGCCCCCGCAAAUAAUUGCCCCGCAACUCGCAACUCCGACGUCCGCUGAAAAUUUGCCCGAGCGGUGAACAAGAAGUAAAGAGCCGAUCCUUCGGUCGUUGACGAUCGCUCUGCAUUUCGUCGGCGCAGCGCGCCGAAUCCUCGACGAGGCGGCAUCUUGACCCCGGUAUUUUCCUGUAUACCGGUGCAACGGUGAAGACUCAAUUUCGAGUACUCCUCCCGGAGGCUCUUCGACCUUUCAGCCGAUCCCCUUACGCUCUCGUCUUUACGUGCCUUCCUGAGCAUCGUCAAGAUGCUAUCCGGAGGAAAACGCCAUAUCGAACAGCCGGACGAGUCGUACCCGAUCUCUCCAGCAUGCUCCAGUUGAAUCGGCGCAAUGGAAUUCGUUUCGGUUACCCCGAACUCGGCUCCUUCAGAAUAUUUUUUAAAUUAAUAUAUAGUGGAGCACACUUGAUUUUUUAUUUACCUCAGUGUGCACAAAUUGCACAAAAAAGUUGGAGUUCUUUUACAGAUCAAAAAGUUAUGUUUUAUUUUAUUGCAUACGUAAGACGAAAAACUGUUCCUCUGAGUUUCUAUCGAGUCGAAGAGAAGCUUUUCGAGAGGAAGUAUACAUCAAAUAAAAUUGAAGAUAAUAGAGAAUACAUAUAUACGUAACUGCUUGUUAUGGAUUCGUAUUCUAACGUGAAAGAAAUUUAAGGAAAGACCGAAGAUUAAGGAGAGAUGAUCAAGUUAAGCCGAGAACACGACAUAGUUUUGACAAGUAAGAACAUGCCACGAUUUGGAAAUUAUCGCUUCUAACUUAGUCCUCGAGAUACCGGAGCAAUGAGCAGUCUUUGAUCCGCGCUAGGUAAGUAAUGAAGUAAUCUGCACGUACAUAGGAGCCGUAAUUACCAGCGGGAUUAGCUGCGGCUACCUUUGCGGUAUGUUUAUGAUAACGGUAUGUAGGAUUAGUUUCUUCGGCAUUUACAUCUCGCAGCUCGUACGGAUAAACACGAAGUUAUCGUGAGCUGAGGCUGUAGUAACGAUCGCUUAUAAUCAGCAAAUUUGCGGCCAAGCCUUAUCUACCUGUACAUUGUCCAUACAAUGCGGCCUGCUUACCGCGGUAUCAACCUAAAUGCGUCUAUAUACCAUUCGGGAAAUCUCUCGUUAUAUAACGGGAAUUGCGACAACGACGUGAUCAUAAUUGUUGCUUACUCUCAGUCACGUACGUCGGGAGCUUUCGUCAUCUAAGCACCUCCAGUAAAUUGCAAUGCGGGAUACCAUCUUGACUUUUGAAUCGGCAAACGAGCCGACCGUGGAUAAGACCUCUCGAGAAUAAAACGAAAGGAGCCUAGACGACAAUCGAGCGAGAGGAUAUGAACCGUUGGAAACUUAUUCAGAAAUCACAGGGCGGGAGUAACAAAAGUUUUACGGUCGAGUUCUACGGAUAGCUGAAAAUUAAAUCCCACCGAGGACGGGGAAUGUUCGAUCUUAUAAUGCGCUCCAGUGGCAAUCGGCAUAUGAUCAUUCAUCACAGCCAUUUCUCAUGCUCUCUCUGCAUAAGUUUGAGGUAACGCCGAUAAUAAUUCAAUAACCAACGCCUCGACUAAUUCCGUUUAAGACCCCUCGAUAUAUGAAAAAUUGUUAUAAACGAGCGAUUUUCAGAUAAGAUAACAGAUAACAGAUUAUAGUUUAUAGAUAAACUUUUAUCGAUAACAGAUAUCUUUUAUAGCUUAAUGAUUAUACACGGGCACGAAUAUUUGCAAUUUAUUCUCGGAACAGUAAAUAUUAUAGCAGCUAUAAAUAUUGAUUAAAUUUGUUAAGCGUACAUCACGUUGGAUAUAUCAUUUACUUUAUAUUUUAUUUACGCCUCGAUUAUUUUACAUCACAUUAAAACAGUCAAUAUAUGGUAUAUUAUAAAUUUCUAUUUUAAAACGUUCUAUUUUUUAUAUGUAAUAACCAUUUUGUAGAUUGUACGCGUGACAGUGAUCGAGAAAAAACCGAAAAAAAGAACAAAAACGAUGCUUCAAACACAUGAAUAACUCAAAUUAAUGAUAUAAACGUUUUCUCGGGGAAAGUCAAAUACGAAUUAUGCGUACAUGCGCUCGACGAUGCAAAUGAAACAAUUGACGUAAAUAUUUGACGCCGCACCUACAUUUACUUUUUGCUCGGCGCUCGUGAGCUUAAAUAGACCUGCAUAAAACACGACUAAGGCAAGCGCAAGACACCCGACGCCUUUUCGCUUGCCCGCUAAAUAAAACCAAGCGUGUCAAGUGCGGUAUAAGAAGUGACAUGAGACGGCAUGUAGAGCAACACGGUGGAAGUAGCAGCCUUUAUAUUCGUAAUACGCAUUGUUGAGCACGAUUCUGUCUUAUCAAACAUAAAUUUAUAUGAAAAACUGCAUGUAAGCGGAAAGCAACUUUCAGGCAAGGAUUUGUACGAAUUAUUAAUAUUACGAAUUACAGUCGGUAAUAGAAAAAUACCACAACUUGCCCCGCAAAUAUGAGAAAUUUACUUUUUAUUUAUAGAAUUGUGAUAACAAAAAGAGCUAUACAUUUGCCAUUUCUCUUCAAAAUUGUAAAAUUUUUACGUCCUUGAUCAAAACAUCUAUAUUAAUAUUAGUAAUGAAAAAAAUAUAUCAAAUAUAAAAAUAUAUAAAUAUAAUAAAUUCAGGUAUACGUAAUCAAUUUUGUUGCCUAAAUAAUAAUGAUAUCAUGCUAGAGUAAAAAUUAAAUUUAUUCUAUAAAGGAAAAUCUAAAUAAA
This 3314-nucleotide long non-coding RNA is filed under the name Monomorium pharaonis (pharaoh ant). RNAcentral describes it as "uncharacterized LOC118646634, transcript variant X2". Lineage: Eukaryota; Metazoa; Arthropoda; Insecta; Hymenoptera; Formicidae. The record is from RNAcentral.